This is a non-coding RNA of Equus caballus (horse), 404 nucleotides long. The record is from RefSeq and is a predicted model, not a curated record. NCBI's taxonomy places the organism in Eukaryota, Metazoa, Chordata, Mammalia, Perissodactyla, Equidae.
UUGGAACAGAACCAGAUAUGAUCCGGGAUGGAUCAACCACACCAAUUGCCAAUAUAUUCCAGGAUGUUAUCCAAAAGAGUGUGAUGAUGCUCCCGCUGGGCACUGUGGACGAUGGAGAGCACGCGCAGAAGGAGAAAAUCAACAGUGAGCAGGUGGAACUACAUAGAAGGAUCCCAAUUAUUUGCUGCCUUUUUCCUAGAGACGGCUAAGCUGCAUUAACAACGACGGGAACCUUCCAGCUUACAUCUGAGCUGCUGACAUAUCCCCUCUCUCACAUCCCUGGACAGGAAUAGAAUCUAAAUAUCCAGAGAAUUUCUGUCCAGUAAAUAAUAUUUUCCCUCUUUAAUACGUCUUUGGACAUUUGGACCAGUAAUAAACUAUUUUAAAGGUAGAGACACUGGAAA